Pteropus alecto (black flying fox) is the source of this 74-nucleotide non-coding RNA. Lineage: Eukaryota; Metazoa; Chordata; Mammalia; Chiroptera; Pteropodidae. The record is from Rfam.
GGCUCCAUAGUGUGGUGGUUAGCACGUCUGCUUUGCACGUAGAAGGUCCUAGGUUCGCGCCCCAGCUGGAGCCA